AGCCAUACUACCCAGAACAUGCCUGAUCUCUUCUGAUCUCAGAAGCUACGCAGCGUUAGGCCUAGUUAGUACUUGGAUGGGAGAACAGUCAAAUAAAACCAAGACAUAAUUAUUC
RNAcentral lists this ribosomal RNA (115 nucleotides) under Prolemur simus (greater bamboo lemur). Lineage: Eukaryota; Metazoa; Chordata; Mammalia; Primates; Lemuridae. The record is from RNAcentral.